GUCUCUCUUUAUCAAGUCAUCAUGUUUGGGAACAAGUGUAACACGGUAGGAAUGAAGAUGCCUCUUGUGUGGGAGGCUGAUGCUCCAAAGGAUUCAUGCUUUCAGCUAACAGAGGCUUCAUCCACCCUCAGUGCUCAGGCAGCAUUUGGAAGAGAAGGAUGACUGGAAGGAAGAAAGCUACAGUUUUCUUAUUGUAGUUAUGGGGAAAUUGCACUGAUCCGUGCAUGCACUUUUACCCAGUCUCCCCGGUCACAAACCUGCCAGAACAAGCACUUGAGCUGAAAAUACUAAUCUGUAUAUGUGUUAGGCACAGUUCUGGAGGCUGGGAAAUCCAAGAUUAAUAUCAGCAGAUGUGGUGUCUGGUGAAGGCCUGCUUUGCCACAGGUGCUGCUUCACAGUCGUUAAGAAGUGAGUUUGUGUCGUUUGUAGGGACAUGGAUGAAUCUGGAAAACAUCAUCCUCAGCAAACUGACACAAGAACAGAAAAUGAAACACCGCAUAUCCUCACUCAUAGGUACAAGGGUGUGGACCUGCCUCGUGAUCAGAAUGCCGUAGAAAUGAGAGCUGUCAGCAAUGGGUCUCCACUGCGAAUACUCAGGAAUGAACAAGGCCAUUUUAACUCCAUGGUAAGUGUGGUAAGGGGGAAGCCAAUGUGAAAGUCAGGGAAGUCACAGUCUACUUUAAAUAUUAGUUCCU
Molecule: long non-coding RNA, 695 nt
Filed under: Callithrix jacchus (white-tufted-ear marmoset)
Lineage: Eukaryota; Metazoa; Chordata; Mammalia; Primates; Cebidae
Description: lncRNA (ENSCJAG00000079840.1)
Source: RNAcentral